Molecule: ribosomal RNA, 514 nt
Filed under: uncultured marine bacterium
Lineage: Bacteria
Description: bacterial SSU rRNA
Rfam family: Bacterial small subunit ribosomal RNA
Source: RNAcentral
UGAUCUAGCCAUGCCGCGUGAGUGAUGAAGGCCUUAGGGUCGUAAGCUCUUUCGCCUGUGAUGAUAAUGACAGUAGCAGGUAAAGAAACCCCGGCUAACUCCGUGCCAGCAGCCGCGGUAAUACGGAGGGGGUUAGCGUUGUUCGGAAUUACUGGGCGUAAAGCGCGCGUAGGCGGAUUGGAAAGUUGGAGGUGAAAUCCCGGGGCUCAACCCCGGAACGGCCUUUAAAACUCCCAGUCUAGAGUUCGAGAGAGGUGAGUGGAAUUCCGAGUGUAGAGGUGAAAUUCGUAUAUAUUUGGAGGAACACCAGUGGCGAAGGCGGCUCACUGGCUCGAUACUGACGCUGAGGUGCGGAAGUGUGGGGAGCAAACAGGAUUAGAUACCCUGGUAGUCCACACCGUAAACGAUGAAUGCCAGUCGUCGGAUAGUAUACUAUUCGGUGACACACCUAACGGAUUAAGCAUUCCGCCUGGGGAGUACGGUCGCAAGAUUAAAACUCAAAGGAAAUUGACGG